RNAcentral lists this ribosomal RNA (663 nucleotides) under uncultured Actinomycetales bacterium. RNAcentral's name for it is "bacterial SSU rRNA". It matches the Rfam family "Bacterial small subunit ribosomal RNA", at positions 63 to 739 of the family's 1533-position model. The record is from RNAcentral. Lineage: Bacteria; Bacillati; Actinomycetota; Actinomycetes; Actinomycetales.
CGAACGGAAAGGCCCUGCUUGCAGGGUACUCGAGUGGCGAACGGGUGAGUAACACGUGGGUGAUCUGCCCUGCACUUCGGGAUAAGCUUGGGAAACUGGGUCUAAUACCGGAUAGGACCGCACUUUAGUGUGUGUGGUGGAAAGUUUUUUCGGUGUAGGAUGAGCUCGCGGCCUAUCAGCCUGUUGGUGGGGUAAUGGCCUACCAAGGCGGCGACGGGUAGCCGGCCUGAGAGGGUGUACGGCCACAUUGGGACUGAGAUACGGCCCAGACUCCUACGGGAGGCAGCAGUGGGGAAUAUUGCACAAUGGGCGCAAGCCUGAUGCAGCGACGCCGCGUGGGGGAUGAAGGCCUUCGGGUUGUAAACUCCUUUCGCUAGGGACGAAGCUUUUUGUGACGGUACCUAGAUAAGAAGCACCGGCUAACUACGUGCCAGCAGCCGCGGUAAUACGUAGGGUGCGAGCGUUGUCCGGAAUUACUGGGCGUAAAGGGCUCGCAGGUGGUUUGUCGCGUCGUCUGUGAAAUUCUGGGGCUUAACUCCGGGCGUGCAGGCGAUACGGGCAUAACUUGAGUGCUGUAGGGGUAACUGGAAUUCCUGGUGUAGCGGUGAAAUGCGCAGAUAUCAGGAGGAACACCGAUGGCGAAGGCAGGUUACUGGGCAGUUA